AGGAAGAGGAAGAAGAAGGGAUGAGUGGAAAAGUGUCUCAGUCAGAUCAGCAGCAGCUCUGCAGUUUGAUGUUUUCAUCUGAAGAUGCUCAGCUUCAUGUUCUUCUGUCACGCCUGGCUCCUGCUAACUGUUCUGACUGCCGGCACUGAAUCCUCCACAGGUACAGUGAUCCGGUUUUCAGUCCCGGAGGAUCACCACGUCCGCCUGCCCUGUGGCGGCACUCACACCUUGGAUGUGGUCUGGACUCAUCAGGAACGGAGGGUCCCGGUGACCCGGAAGGGCGACUACGAGACCAACGACGACCCCCAACGCUACUCUCUGCUGUCGGACGGCAGCCUCCACCUCCUGAGGCUCGACGACUCGGACAGUGGAGAGUAUCACUGCAACCAGCAGCUGGUGGCCGAGCUGCAGGUGCUAACAGGUAAUGACUUCAUCGUGUCUGCAGGCCGGACGCUGCUGCUCCCCUGCAGCAGCUCCCCCAAACCCAGACUGAGGUGGUUCUACCGGAGGGACGGCGGGAAGCGGGAGGUGAUCUUCACCUUGUUCAGGAACGGCACGAUGAAACCGGAGAGGGAGGGAGGAGGCCGGCUCAGCUACGACAACGACGCCCUGCAGAUCGAAGACCUGCAGCUAGAGGACGCUGGUCAGUAUCAGUGCAGCGGACAGCCGUGGACCAGAGUCAUCGUCAUGACAGUUCACCCGGAGCCAACCAGCAUCCAUGAAACCACGAGCACAACCACAACACCUGCUGUGAUGAAUACAGACGUGGUGGAAACAAAGAAGAAGGAGAAGAAGAGGUCUGAGAACGCUCUGCUGAUCGCUGCUGUUGUGGGUUUGGGGUUAAUGAUCGUCCUCAUGGUUGCUGUCUGCAUCUUACUGACCAGCAUGAAGUGCAGGAGGAAGAGGAUGAAGAGGAUAUACGAGAGCGUUGGUAGGUGGUCUGAGAUACGGAGAGUCAAAAGUGUCUGAAUUUCUAUAUUUGGCACAAAUGAAAACACACAUAAUGUUACAUAAUCUGAGACUCUUGACCCCCAUUAGAGGUUACCAAGGCCAGCCCUGUGAAAGAGGCCUUCUUCUUCUGUUUCAGCUUCACAGAGACCCGAAGACACCGAGCUGCAGCCCUGGAAGAUGUCCAGCGCUCAAACUGAGCGUGAGGCGUACAAGAGUCCAUCUGUGCCGGAGGAGACGCUCCAUUAUGCCUCUCUGGGCCGGCAGAACUGGAGGGAGAGACCCACCAGGACUCCACCGGACCAGAACCACCACAACGUCAUCUACUCUU
Larimichthys crocea (large yellow croaker) is the source of this 1279-nucleotide RNA transcript. It is a transcript of the gene named contactin-3, with no coding region annotated. The transcript has 7 exons. Lineage: Eukaryota; Metazoa; Chordata; Actinopteri; Sciaenidae. The record is from RefSeq and is a predicted model, not a curated record.